Molecule: long non-coding RNA, 1278 nt
Filed under: Nicotiana tabacum (common tobacco)
Lineage: Eukaryota; Viridiplantae; Streptophyta; Magnoliopsida; Solanales; Solanaceae
Description: long non-coding RNA (NTAB_LNC001179)
Source: RNAcentral
GCCACGUUUGACCUAGGGAUUUAAAAUAUUGGUUUCUUGGUUGAUUUAGAGAUACAACAAUACAGUGGAAAUAGCAUAAACAAUGACAGCGACAAGAAGAGGUUGGCAACGAGUUGGUUGGAUAGUUUAGUAGCGAGAAUCUUUUGGUGGAGAAACUAAUUAUCAGGUAUUGCAUUGAUUUUACUACAAUGGUACAUGUUCCAUUUAAUUCCAGAGAGGUUGAUAAUUGGAAUUGAUAGCAUGCUGCGGAAAAGCAUUUCCUAUGUUAAUAACAGUUUCGGUUUCUAGUUAUUUUAAUUAAUAGAUACAAUGUUUAAUGAAUGAUUAGGUAACAAUGAGAAGAUACAUAUUUAUAGUACGAUGAUUGGAUAUAAUAAUAGGUAUAGAAUUGACUAGUUUCAACGUGAGUGAGCAAUUAAGUUUUCAAAAUUUCAGAAUGUUUGAAUUUAUAAACCCCUGUAUCGUUCUUUUCUAUUCUAUACUCUAGGAUUAUUAUUUCGGGACAUGAAUAUUAGUAUAUUGGACAUUUAUUUUAAACAUUUAGUUAGAUAGAGAUAUUGGGAUAUGUCUUUACUUUUAACAAUAUGGUACUUGAUAGGUAGAAUAUUAAGACUCAACUCUAAACUUAAAAGUUAGGGAUAUUAAGAUUUGAUCCCGACUAAUAUAGUUGAUAUUGUUAAUAAUACCUUGUAUAGAUUGAGGCCGAUUGGUUGGUGUUCUAGAAGUCGCAAGGUUGGGAAACUUGUCGUUGGCAAGGUAAGUGAGACUUUAAGCUUUGAUACUUGCUUUUUUAAAACCUGUUUUGAAAGUGUGUUUUCUCUGCCUGGUCCAUGUGUUGGGGCAAGCGUGCGCUUGGCAGAAUCGGUGGUCGUAGACUAGCCGCAAAUAUAUUAUUUUAUGAAAAUACAAAAAAAAAUUAUUUUAUAAGUUGUUUGAUAGUUUGAUACGGUUGUGAGCCAUGUGUUGAGUUUGAUGCAGUUGUGAGCCAUGAUGUUGAGUUUGAUAGUCCGAUUCGGCUGUGAGCCAUGAUAUUGAGUUUGAUACGGCUGUGCACCAUGAUGUUGAGUUUGAUACGGCUGUGCGCCAUGAUGUUGAGUUUGAUAUGGCUAUGUGCUAUGAUGUUGAGUUUGAUACGGCUAUGCGCCAUGAUGUUGAGUUUGAUACGGCUAUGCGCCAUGAUGUUGGGGCAUUGUGUAUGCCUUUGUAUAUCACCCGAGCAUUGUGUAUGCUUCUUGAUAUAUUUGGGGCAUUGUAUAUGCUCUGUUACAUAUUUGAGGC